UAUGUUACGACUUAUUCCAUUUUAAUGAAAUUGACGGGCAAUUUGUACACUUUUCAAAACUAAUUUCAAUUUAAUUAAUUUAUUAAAUUUACUUUUAAAUUCUCUUUCAAAUUAAUAUUAAAAUUAAUUAUCUAAAAAUAUAAUUUAUUAUAACUCAUAAAAUUCUUAAAUAUACUACAUUUUGAUUUGAAUAAUUAUUCAUAUUAAAUAUUAAUAAAAAAUAAUCUUAAAUAAAAAUACACAACAAUAUAUAAGUUUAAUUUAAGUAAAUCUUAUCGUGGAUUAUCAAAUUAAACUACAAGUUUCUCUAAUAAGAAUGAAAAGCCGCCAUAUAAUUUAAUUUUAAUGAUUUAACAUUUAUUAAUAAAUUAAUUUUAUUAUUUUAUAUAGUGGGGUAUCUAAUCCC
RNAcentral lists this ribosomal RNA (406 nucleotides) under Bombus pullatus. Its description in RNAcentral is "partial 12S small subunit ribosomal RNA". Lineage: Eukaryota; Metazoa; Arthropoda; Insecta; Hymenoptera; Apidae. The record is from RNAcentral.